This is a small nuclear RNA of Hippopotamus amphibius kiboko, 106 nucleotides long. Lineage: Eukaryota; Metazoa; Chordata; Mammalia; Artiodactyla; Hippopotamidae. The record is from RefSeq and is a predicted model, not a curated record.
GUGCUCUUUUCAGCAGUACAUACACUAAAAUUGGAACAAUACAGAGAACAUUAGCAUGCCCCAGCGCAAGGAUGACAUGCAAAUUAGUGAAGUGUUCCAUAUUUUA